This 253-nucleotide ribosomal RNA is filed under the name uncultured bacterium. Its description in RNAcentral is "partial 16S ribosomal RNA". It matches the Rfam family "Bacterial small subunit ribosomal RNA", at positions 524 to 776 of the family's 1533-position model. The record is from RNAcentral.
UACGGGGGGGGCAAGCGUUGUUCGGAAUUACUGGGCGUAAAGGGCGCGUAGGCGGCCUUCUAAGUCGGACGUGAAAUCCCUCGGCUCAACCGGGGAACUGCGUCCGAUACUGGAGGGCUCGAAUCCGGGAGAGGGAUGUGGAAUUCCAGGUGUAGCGGUGAAAUGCGUAGAUAUCUGGAGGAACACCGGUGGCGAAGGCGGCAUCCUGGACCGGCAUUGACGCUGAGGCGCGAAAGCUAGGGGAGCAAACGGG